This 484-nucleotide ribosomal RNA is filed under the name uncultured bacterium. RNAcentral's name for it is "partial 16S ribosomal RNA". It matches the Rfam family "Bacterial small subunit ribosomal RNA", at positions 30 to 507 of the family's 1533-position model. The record is from RNAcentral.
AUUGAACGCUGGCGGCAGGCCUAACACAUGCAAGUCGAGCGGAUGACGGGAGCUUGCUCCUGGAUUCAGCGGCGGACGGGUGAGUAAUGCCUAGGAAUCUGCCUGGUAGUGGGGGAUAACGUCCGGAAACGGGCGCUAAUACCGCAUACGUCCUGAGGGAGAAAGUGGGGGAUCUUCGGACCUCACGCUAUCAGAUGAGCCUAGGUCGGAUUAGCUAGUUGGUGGGGUAAAGGCCUACCAAGGCGACGAUCCGUAACUGGUCUGAGAGGAUGAUCAGUCACACUGGAACUGAGACACGGUCCAGACUCCUACGGGAGGCAGCAGUGGGGAAUAUUGGACAAUGGGCGAAAGCCUGAUCCAGCAAUGCCGCGUGUGUGAAGAAGGUCUUCGGAUUGUAAAGCACUUUAAGUUGGGAGGAAGGGCAGUAAGUUAAUACCUUGCUGUUUUGACGUUACCAACAGAAUAAGCACCGGCUAACUUCGUG